AGGUUUGUAUUCAAUUAUGAUUCUAAAUUGCAAAUUUAGAGGUGUUAUUUUAUAUCCAAGGCUU
This 64-nucleotide transfer RNA is filed under the name Cerynia lineola. RNAcentral's name for it is "tRNA-Cys". Lineage: Eukaryota; Metazoa; Arthropoda; Insecta; Hemiptera; Flatidae. The record is from RNAcentral.